UAUUAUGUACUUUGAUAGAAGACCUAAAGUAUCCUCAGAUACUGUUCAGUUAUGUUUGAAAUACCUAGGUCUAUUCUCACCACAAACACCCAGUCUAUGACUGUGAGUGAUGCCCUCCCACUUUUCUUUGUUUAGUGUCUGUGAAGAUGGUCAGGUGUUUUGAAGGGAACUGGUCCGGGAACUUUAAAGAUGGAGUUACCCAGAUGGAAUGGACUUGCAGUUCCAACUGGAGCUGAUCCAAUUUCAGCGCUGUGCAUUAUGGCCAAUGCUGGGUCUUUGCCUCUGUCAUGUGUACGGUUAAUUGAAAUUUGACUAUCCACUUGAAUAUCAUUCACCAUUAGAGGUCUUUCCAGUGGCAAUAUACAUAUCAUUGUCUUGAGUUGUCUUUGUGUGUUUCGUUCUUUUUUCAGUUAUGACAGUUUUGGGGGUCCCAUCAAGAGUUGUCACAAUCUUUAACUUGUUAUGGGGCGGUAGGGUAGCCUAGUGGUUAGAGCGUUGGACUAGUAACCGGAAGGUUGCAAGUUCAAACCCCCGAGCUGACAAGGUACAAAUCUGUCGUUCUGCCCCUGAACAAGCAGUUAACCCACUGUUCCUAGGCUGUCAUUUAAAAUAAGAAUUUGUUCUUAACUGACUUGCCUGGUUAAAUAAAGGUAAAAUAAGAAAUAAAUGGCUGGGGGCAGUAUUGAGUAGAUUGGAUAAAUAAAGUGCCCAGAGUAAACUGUCUGCUACUCAGGUCCAGUUGCUAAUAUGUGCAUAUUAAACACUCUGGAGUUUCUAAAACUGUUUGAAUGAUGUCUGUGAGUAUAACAGAACUCAUAUGGCAGGCAAAAACCUGAGAAAAAAAUCCAACCAGGAAGUGGGACAUCUGAGGUUUGUAGUUUUUCAACUCUUUACCUAUUGAAUAUACAGUGUCUAUGGGGUUAUAUUGCACUUCCUAAGGCUUCCACUAGAUGUCAACAGUCUGUAGAACCUUGUUUGAUGCUUCUACUGUGAAGGAGGGGGGAAUGGGAGCUGAAUGAGUCAGUGGUCUGGCAGAGUGCCACGAGCUGGUCACGCGCGUUCACGUGAGAGUUAGCUGCGUUCCAUUGCAAUUCUACAGACAAAGGAAUUCUCCGGUUGGAACAUUAUUGAAGAUUUAUGUUAAAAACAUCCUAAAGAUUGAUUCUAUACUUCGUUUGACAUGUUUCUACGGACUGUAACAGAACUUUUUGACUUUUUGUCUGGCCUGCGUGUCAUGAAUUUGGAUUACUGGGCUAAACGCAUGAACAAAAAGGAUGUAUUUGGACAUAAAUGAUGGACUUUAUCAAACAAAUCUAUCAUUAACCUUUGAUGAUCUUCAUCAGAUGACACUCAUAGGACUUCAUGUUACACAAUACAUGUAUGUUUUGUUCGAUAAAGUUCAUAUUUAUAUACAAAAAUCUGAGUUUACAUUGGCGCGUUAUGUUUAGUAGUUCUAAAACAUCCGGUGAUUUUGCAGAGCCGCAUCAAUUUACAGAAAUACUCAUAAUAAACAUUGAUAAAAGAUAUUACUAUUAUGCAUGGAAUUAUAGAUACACUUCUCCUUAAUGCAACCGCUAUGUCAGAUUUCAAAAAAGCUUUACCGAAAAAGCACACCAUGCAAUAACCUGAGUACAGCGCUCAGACAACAAAUCAAGCCAUACAGAUAUCCGCCAUGUUGUGGAGUCAACAGAAGUCAAGAAAUAACAUUAUAAAUAUUCACUUACCUUUGAUGAUCUUCAUCAAAAUGCACUCCCAAAUCAAAAAAUGGUGUGAAAUACUUCUGUCUUUGAGGAAUUUUAAUUAUGAGAUUUCUGUGCUUUUGAAUUUGGCGCCCUGCACUUUCACUGGCUGUUGUCAUAUCGAUCCCGUUAGCGGGAUUCAAGCCAUAAGAAGUUUUUAACUCCGCCCAUGACACCAAUGGAAAUAUGGUCAUCGAGGAAUAUUACACCAACACUGGGGGGAAAAAAGAAAAUGUAAACAAAUUAUAUCUCUAAGGACAGCAUAUGAGUUGGUGUUCAAAAUGUAAUAUGUUUUGGUCUGCAAAAAAUAACACUGUUUUCUCUGUCAUCUGAGAUGGUUGCAUCACCUCUUAUAGUAUUUAGCUUUUUAUUAUUUUUGGGUGUGCAGUCAUGUACGUACAUGUAUGUCCUAAAUGUAUACAAAUAUUUCCAGGAACUGACCUGUGUCAAGGUUUUGGCGGUUGGCAGGUAUUUGGAUCCAGGUCAAAUACCUUAUUCUAUUCAAUAAUCACUUUCUGUUCAUUAAAUCAUUAAGAUGACAGAUUGAAAGCUAAGACUAUGCUGUUUUAAUCUCAUUUUGACCUUUGAUUCUCUGAAAUAUCUCAAUAUCUCGAUCGUCAAAUGUUUGCCCUUUCAAUAGAUAGCCUAUGAUCAUUCUGACAUGUCUUUAAGUGAAUAGAAUGAUAACAUCUGCAACAUCUACAGGAAUAUUCAGCUGUAGUCCGUGUCCAGUGAAAGGCCCCAGAAAGCGAUGUUAUGACUCUUUGUACGAUACUCCAUUCAUCUAUGCGUCGGUCAAUGUGGAGGUUGUCAUGGUGAUAGCGAGGAAUGGUGUUGGGGACGAGUGUGUACACACAGAGGGUCUGUUCUCACUAAGAACGUGGACUCGGAGAGACCUCAGAGCCUCACCUGUGCUUACAAGUGUACUGAAAGUAAGACAGUGCUAACAUCAGGAAAUACCACCCAACUAAAUCACAACUAUACAAAAAUGAUUCUGCUGUCAAGAUACAGAGGUCUGACAUACUUACAGUAUACUUGUUUCAGGUACCCAUGCAACGUACUUGUAAAAAUGUAAAAGUGAAUCAUUUUGGUUUUAGUUUUUCCAUUAUGUAUUUUGUUGUUUGUCACACCUCAUCCUCUGUCCAUUUCUCUCCGUAGCAACAGUUCAGAGUUUGUAGGUUUCCUUGAAGAUUGAGACAGUGGCAAGGUUGGGGGAGAACAUUUACUUGUGCACAGUGGUGUAAAAUACUUUAAGUACUACUUAAGUAGUUUUUUUGGGGUAUCUGUACGUUACUAUACUAUGUAUAUUUUUGACAAUUUUUACUUUUACUUCACUCCAUUCCUAAAGAAAAUGAUGUACUUUUUCCUCCAUACAUUUUCCUUGACUCCAAAAAGUACCUUGACACCCAAAAGUGAAAUGGUCCAAUUCAGGCACUUAUGAAGAGAACACGUGGUCAUCCCUACUGCCUCUGAUCUGGCGGACUCACUAAACACAUGCAUCGUUUGUAAAUGAUGUCUGAGUGUUGGAGUGUGCCCCUGACUAUCCAUACAUUUACAAAACAAGAAAAUGUUGCUUGAAAUUAUUUAUACUUUUACCAUUUGAUGCUUAAGUAUAUUUUAGCAAUUACAUUUACUUUUGAUACUUAAGUAUAUUUAGAAACAAAUACUUUUAGACUUUUACUCAAGUAGUAUUUUACUGGGUGACUUUCACUUUUACUUGAGUAACUUUCUAUUACGGUAUCUUUACUUUUACUCAAGUAUGACAAUUGGGUACUUUUGCCACCACUGCUUGUUCGUCACUGUCACCAACAGGGUGAAAGACCCCAAGGUUCCGAAGGAAAAUCUCAAUGUUCAAACAAAGGAAUACAAUGGCAGCCCACGGAACUGUUCUGGGAGGCACACAAGCACUUUCAUAUGGCACAUGUGCAGGUCAUUGGUGGAGAUAACAUUCAGCUGGAGAAGGAGCACAGGAGCCUGGUUUCUUCCACUGAUGCUUUGGCUAAUCCUUUGAGCGGUGCUGUGCUGACAGUGGAAGGCUCAGGAUUGAUCAAGGGCAAAGACCAGACAAAGUGUACCUAGUGCCAUCAGGACAGACCAUGGAGAAAAAAUGUUUAUUUCACCCCCCACAACAACUGGCACAAAACUGUUGCAGGCAAGCCUGGUUUACAACAACAGUCCCACAGCCAUCCAAGCCUUCCACAAAGUCUCUGUUUCUGCAUAAGGCAUGAUUGCUUUCUACUGAGCACACUGAAGGAUGUGAGUGUUUGUAAUAUCUUCACUUUGCUUUUGCUAAGUUAAUGUUCAAAUGUGUUAUUCCUAUUUUUGAUUUGUUUCAAGAAAGAUUUGUCAACAUAUUGAAAAUGUUUUCUCUACAUUUCAUAAAAAUCAAGCAAGUCCCGCCUUCUUCCCUGAAUGCAUUGUGAAAUAAUCAAUCAAUGCAAUGUGGAGCGAGCAUGGCAUUAUUGUUAUGUACCUCUUGACUGGUUUUUGUAUGUUAAUGGGAGUGUAUGUCCCCCGUUAGAACAUGAGUCCCUCUAACAGACAUUGUGUUGUCCAGUGACUACUAAGAUGAACUCCUAUUGGAUGAUAAGGGGCUAUCAUACCACUCACUGGUAGGGAGUGUUUCCUCGACAGACAGUGUGAGGGAAACGUUUUACAGAGAUAAGAGGCACAUGAAUAAACAUGGAACAUGAUAGAAUGAACAACAUUUACAGUGAAGCUUAGCUCUCAGAUAUAGUGCUGUCCCAAUUGUUAAAUGACAACAUUGACGUUUUAUUAGAUAUAUGUAUAGGAUACACAUGGUUUGUACUGUCCAACUAAAUGCUUACAGGUUCCUUCUCGACAAUGCAACAAUUGGAAAUAAAAGUUAAGAAAACAAACAUUAAAUGGCUUAGUAGAAUAUAGACAUUUUAGCAUCAGUAUAUAAAACAGGAAGGCACCAUUGCUGCCAACACACUGACUCAACUCCAGCCACUUUAAUGAUGGGAAAUGAUGUAAAAUAUAUCACUAGCCACUUUAAACAAUGCUACCUAAUAUAAUGUUUACAUACCCUACAUUAUUCAUCUCAUAUGUAUACGUAUAUACUGUACUCUAUAUCAUCUACUGCAUCUUUAUGUAAUACAUGUAUCACUAGCCACAUUAACUAUGCCACUUUGUUUACAUACUCAUCUCAUAUGUAUAUACUGUACUCGAUACCAUCUACUGUAUCUUGCCUAUGCCGCUCUGUACCAUCACUCAUUCAUAUAUCUUUAUGUACAUAUUUUUUAUCCCCCUACACUUGUGUGUAUAAGGUAGUAGUUUUGGAAUUGUUAGGUUAGAUUACUCGUUGGUUAUUACUGCAUUGUCGGAACUAGAAGCACAAGCAUUUCGCUACACUCGCACUAACAUCUGCUAACCAUGUGUAUGUGACAAAUAAAAAUUUGAUUUGAUUUGGGAUAUCUUCAACCACCAACUUACCAUCCUGAGACAAGGCUGAGUAUAGCCCACAAAGAUCUCCGCCACGGCACAACCCAGUGACUCAACCCACUCAGGUGACGCACGCCUCCCAGGGACGGUAUGAGAGAGCCCCAGUAAGCCAGUGACUCAGCCCCUGUAAUGGGGUUAGAGGCAGAGAAUGCCAGUGGAAAGAGGGGAACCGGCCAGGCAGAGACAGCAAGGGCGGUUCGUUGCUCCAGAGCCUUUCCGUUCACCUUCCCACUGUGGCACCACUGUUGUGGUGCCAUAUUCUUUCCAUUUCUUUAAUAACGCAUUUAAUGGUGAUCCGUGGGAUGUUCAAAGUCUCUGAUAUUUUUUUUUAUAACCCAACCCUGAUCUGUACUUCUCCAUAACUUUGUCCCUGACCUGUUUGGAAGCGCCUUGGUCUUCAUGGUGUUGCAGACUCUGUGGCCUUUUAUAUACAGAUGUAUAUAUACUGAGAUCAUGUAUCAUGGAUCACCACCUCAAGCUGAACCUCGGCAAGACGGAGCUGCUCUUCCUCCCGGGGAAGGACUGCCCGUUCCAUGAUCUCGCCAUCACGGUUGACAACUCCAUUGUGUCCUCCUCCCAGAGCGCUAAGAACCUUGGCGUGAUCCUGGACAACACCCUGUCGUUCUCAACUAACAUCAAGGCGGUGGCCCGUUCUUGUAGGUUCAUGCUCUACAACAUCCGCAGAGUACGACCCUGCCUCACACAGGAAGCAGCGCAGGUCCUAAUCCAGGCACUUGUCAUCUCCCGUCUGGAUUACUGCAACUCGCUGUUGGCUGGGCUCCCUGCCUGUGCCA
Molecule: long non-coding RNA, 5998 nt
Organism: Oncorhynchus nerka (sockeye salmon)
Lineage: Eukaryota; Metazoa; Chordata; Actinopteri; Salmoniformes; Salmonidae
Exons: 3
Source: RefSeq, a predicted model, not a curated record